CUGGUGCCAAAAAGGUUAGGGACUUCUGCUAUACACUCUGAAGUUAUCCUUCAAGAGCGAAAGAGAAAGACUUCCACAGACAAAAAUUGAAGGAUUUUUGUGGCCAGUAUAUCUGCUUUGCAAGAAAUGUUAAAAGCCUUCAGAGAGAAGGGAAAUGACACAGGUCAGAAACUCACAUCUAGACAAAGAAAGCAAGAGCAUCGGAAAAGGAAUAAGUGAAGGCCCAUCAAUCAAUUAACUGUAACUGACAUCUGUAGACUACUCAUCCAAAAAUGGCAUCACACAUUCAUCUCAAGCUCACCUGGAACAUUCACCAAAGCUGGAGUAGGAGGGAGCAUAACCUGGCGUGAACUGAAAGUCUAUAAUACACAUAUAUACAGAAAGAAGAGACCCCACAGAUGGAAAUUUAGGUAUAAAUGGAAAUACAAACUAUUCCUUGGCUCUACCAAUCUACCAUUAGAACUAUCCAGAAAGUUUGGAUUUUAGAAUAAAGACAUGGUUCUCAUUCUCUACCUAUGAGACUGAGUGAUAUCUACUUCUAAGGUCAUCUUAAUUGUAAGGAGAAGGAUAAAACACACUUAUAUCUGCUUGUGAUAUGCAUCAACUCUGGAAGGGAUACACCAGAAACUGACAACAGUAGUUCCUGUAUGUGUGUGGAGAGGGGUAGAAGUAUUGAAGGGAAAUAAAGGCCUCAUCUGCUAGAAGAGAAUCCUUAAGUCCCAAAGAUGCACUAUAGAUG
RNAcentral lists this long non-coding RNA (739 nucleotides) under Homo sapiens (human). RNAcentral's name for it is "HSALNT0112333". The record is from RNAcentral. Lineage: Eukaryota; Metazoa; Chordata; Mammalia; Primates; Hominidae.